Molecule: long non-coding RNA, 339 nt
Filed under: Elaeis guineensis (African oil palm)
Lineage: Eukaryota; Viridiplantae; Streptophyta; Magnoliopsida; Arecales; Arecaceae
Description: long non-coding RNA (EGUI_LNC026826)
Source: RNAcentral
AUAUACGAGCUCAGCAGAAGAAAACAAGCAUAAACUAACUUGAACAAAGACUAAAUAAAAAGAUCCAAUGAGAUGAACUCAAUAAUAGCGUCUAUAAAGAGCUAACUUUUACUCAGUUCAGGUUGAUAAUCCCUGGGCAAGCUGCUAAAAUUUCUUAUUCAACCAACCCUUGGCAUUUAUUCUUAUCUGAUUUUGUAGAGGCAAUCUUCUUCAUGUAGAGGCAAUCUUCUUCAUGUAGCUUACCAUGAGAAGCAUCUCACUUGCAAUCUCUCUAAAGAAUAUUGGAAGAGGAACUUUGAUAUGGUAUUCUACAAUGCCAAUGCAUGGACUUUAUCAUUU